Molecule: ribosomal RNA, 1087 nt
Filed under: uncultured fungus
Lineage: Eukaryota; Fungi
Description: eukaryotic LSU rRNA
Rfam family: Eukaryotic large subunit ribosomal RNA (bases 655-1087)
Source: RNAcentral
UCCGUAGGUGAACCUGCGGAAGGAUCAUUAACACGUUCUUUACGUUUAUAUUAUUUUAUAAACCCCAAACUGAGCACUGAUAAACAUAAUUUAUCAUUCGAUUGAAUAGAGAGGAGUUGUGCUUAAUUGCAUGGCAACUUUCUCUCAAUCUUCUAAAACAAACCCCUUUUAAAUCAAAUUUAUUGACUAAAACCAUGUAUUUUCAAUUUUAUUAUUGAAAUCUUAUUACGUAAACUAAGAACAACUCUUAGCAACGGAUAUCUUGGUUCCCGCAACGAUGAAGAACGCAGCGAAACGCGAUAUGUAAUGCGAAUUGCAGAAUUCAGUGAAUCAUCAAAUCUUUGAACGCAAAUUGCACUUCCGGGAUAGGCCUGGGAGUAUGCUUCUCUCAGUAUCGGUUAUAUCUACUCUCGUCUGCACUUGUAAAAAGAGUGUACGACGGAUAAUGAGUCGGUGCGCCAUACUGUACCUUCUUGAAACUGAUUGGGAAGCCACAUUCUUGGAGGACUACUCUAAGGACAACGCCGAUUAUUAAAGAUUCAUCUGAAUCUUUUCAACUAUAUUUGCGCUGUCUGAGUCCUACUCGAGGCAUUGCCCAGCUUUUUAUCUUUACCGUGUCAAAAACGAUAAUUGAAUAAAAAUGUCUUUAAUCAUAGAUCUGAGAUGAAGUAAGAGGACCCACUGAAUUUAAGCAUAUUAUUAAGUGGAGGAAAAGAAACUAACAAGGAUUCCCUCAGUAACGGCGAGUGAAGCGGGAAGAGCUCAAAAUGAAAACCGGUGGUCCAAACGGGUCCCCGGGUUGUAAUCUCUAGACAGGUGACCAGCGUUUGUGACUUUGGUAUAAAUCCCUUGGAACGGGGUAUCAUAGAGGGUGAGAAUCCCGUCUUUGACCAAAAGUUUCACCGCGUACGGUCCUUGCUCUUCGAGUCGAGUACGUUGGGAUUCGUGCUCUAAAUGGGUGGUAAGCUCCAUCUAAAGCUAAAUAUUGGCGGGAGACCGAUAGCGAACAAGUACCGUGAGGGAAAGAUGAAAAGAACUUUGAAAAGAGAGUUAAAUAGUACGUGAAAUUGUCAAAAGGGAAACGCUU